RNAcentral lists this ribosomal RNA (1353 nucleotides) under uncultured bacterium. RNAcentral's name for it is "bacterial SSU rRNA". It matches the Rfam family "Bacterial small subunit ribosomal RNA", at positions 8 to 1367 of the family's 1533-position model. The record is from RNAcentral.
AGAGUUUGAUUCUGGCUCAGGAUGAACGCUGGCGGCGUGCUUAACACAUGCAAGUCGAACGGGAAUUACUUUAUUGAAACUUCGGUCGAUUUAAUUUAAUUCUAGUGGCGGACGGGUGAGUAACGCGUGGGUGACCUGCCCCAUACCGGGGGAUAACAGCUGGAAACGGCUGCUAAUACCGCAUAAGCGCACAGAGCUGCAUGGCUCGGUGUGAAAAACUCCGGUGGUAUGGGGAUGGGCCCGCGUCUGAUUAGGCAGUUGGCGGGGUAACGGCCCACCAAACCGACGAUCAGUAGCCGGCCUGAGAGGGCGACCGGCCACAUUGGGACUGAGACACGGCCCAGACUCCUACGGGAGGCAGCAGUGGGGGAUAUUGCACAAUGGGGGAAACCCUGAUGCAGCGACGCCGCGUGGAGGAAGAAGGCUUUCGGAUUGUAAACUCCUGUCGUUAGGGACGAUAAUGACGGUACCUAACAAGAAAGCACCGGCUAACUACGUGCCAGCAGCCGCGGUAAAACGUAGGGUGCAAGCGUUGUCCAGAAUUACUGGGUGUAAAGGGGGCGCAGGCGGACCGGCAAGUUGGAAGUGAAAACUAUGGGCUCAACCCAUAAAUUGCUUUCAAAACUGCUGGCCUUGAGUAGUGCAGAGGUAGGUGGAAUUCCCGGUGUAGCGGUGGAAUGCGUAGAUAUCGGGAGGAACACCAGUGGCGAAGGCGACCUACUGGGCACCAACUGACGCUGAGGCUCGAAAGCAUGGGUAGCAAACAGGAUUAGAUACCCUGGUAGUCCAUGCUGUAAACGAUGAUUACUAGGUGUGGGGGCGAAAGCUUCCGUGCCGGAGUUAACACAAUAAGUAAUCCACCUGGGGAGUACGACCGCAAGGUUGAAACUCAAAGGAAUUGACGGGGGCCCGCACAAGCAGUGGAGUAUGUGGUUUAAUUCGAAGCAACGCGAAGAACCUUACCAGGUCUUGACAUCGUGCGCAUAGGCAAGAGAUUGCUGAAAUCACUCUUUGAGUGACGUAUAGACAGGUGGUGCAUGGUUGUCGUCAGCUCGUGUCGUGAGAUGUUGGGUUAAGUCCCGCAACGAGCGCAACCCUUAUCAUUAGUUACUACGAAAGAGGACUCUAAUGAGACUGCCGUUGAGAAAACGGAGGAAGGUGGGGAUGACGUCAAAUCAUCAUGCCCCUUAUGACCUGGGCUACACACGUACUACAAUGGCUGUCAACAAAGUGAACCAAAUACGCGAGUAAGAGGGAAACACAAAAAACAGUCACAGUUCGGAUAGUAGGCUGCAACUCGCCUACAUGAAGCCGGAAUUGCUAGUAAUCGCGGAUCAGCAUGCCGCGGUGAAU